GGCUCGUUGGUCUAGGGGUAUGAUUCGCGCUUCGGGUGCGCGAGGUCCCGGGUUCAAAUCCCGGACGAGCCC
Molecule: transfer RNA, 72 nt
Organism: Oikopleura dioica
Lineage: Eukaryota; Metazoa; Chordata; Appendicularia; Copelata; Oikopleuridae
Rfam family: tRNA
About the family: Transfer RNA (tRNA) molecules are approximately 80 nucleotides in length. Their secondary structure includes four short double-helical elements and three loops (D, anti-codon, and T loops). Further hydrogen bonds mediate the characteristic L-shaped molecular structure. tRNAs have two regions of fundamental functional importance: the anti-codon, which is responsible for specific mRNA codon recognition, and the 3' end, to which the tRNAs corresponding amino acid is attached (by aminoacyl-tRNA synthetases). tRNAs cope with the degeneracy of the genetic code in two manners: having more than one tRNA (with a specific anti-codon) for a particular amino acid; and 'wobble' base-pairing, i.e. permitting non-standard base-pairing at the 3rd anti-codon position.
Source: Rfam